RNAcentral lists this transfer RNA (68 nucleotides) under bovine gut metagenome. It matches the Rfam family "tRNA". From Rfam's summary of the family: Transfer RNA (tRNA) molecules are approximately 80 nucleotides in length. Their secondary structure includes four short double-helical elements and three loops (D, anti-codon, and T loops). The record is from RNAcentral.
CUCAUAGCUCAGCUGGUAGAGCAUCUGACUUUUAAUCAGAGGGUCACAGGUUCGAUCCCUGUUGAGCC